UACGAAGGGGGCUAGCGUUGUUCGGAUUUACUGGGCGUAAAGCGCACGUAGGUGGGCGAUUAAGUCAGGGGUGAAAUCCCGGAGCUCAACUCCGGAACUGCCUUUGAUACUGGUCGUCUAGAGAUCGGAAGAGGUGAGUGGAAUUCCCAGUGUAGAGGUGAAAUUCGUAGAUAUUGGGAAGAACACCAGUGGCGAAGGCGGCUCACUGGUCCGAUACUGACGCUGAGGUGCGAAAGCGUGGGGAGCAAACAGG
Molecule: ribosomal RNA, 253 nt
Filed under: uncultured bacterium
Lineage: Bacteria
Description: partial 16S ribosomal RNA
Rfam family: Bacterial small subunit ribosomal RNA
Source: RNAcentral